RNAcentral lists this ribosomal RNA (464 nucleotides) under uncultured bacterium. Its description in RNAcentral is "partial 16S ribosomal RNA". It matches the Rfam family "Bacterial small subunit ribosomal RNA", at positions 29 to 507 of the family's 1533-position model. The record is from RNAcentral.
ACGAACGCUGGCGGCGUGCUUAACACAUGCAAGUCGAACGGAAAGGCCCCUUUGGGGGUACUCGAGUGGCGAACGGGUGAGUAACACGUGAGUAACCUGCCCUUGACUUCGGGAUAACUUCAGGAAACUGGGGCUAAUACCGGAUAGGAAUCCUUGCUGCAUGGUGGGGGUUGGAAAGCUUCGGCGGUUUUGGGUGGACUCGCGGCUUAUCAGCUUGUUGGUGGGGUAGUGGCUUACCAAGGCUUUGACGGGUAGCCGGCCUGAGAGGGCGACCGGCCACAUUGGGACUGAGAUACGGCCCAGACUCCUACGGGAGGCAGCAGGGGGGAAUAUUGCACAAUGGGCGGAAGCCUGAUGCAGCAACGCCGCGUGCGGGAGGACGGCCUUCGGGUUGGAAACCGCUUUCAGCAGGGGCGAAGCUUGUGGUGACGGUACCUGCAGAAGAAGCACCGGCUAACUACGUG